RNAcentral lists this transfer RNA (86 nucleotides) under Candidatus Neptunichlamydia vexilliferae. RNAcentral's name for it is "tRNA-Leu". It matches the Rfam family "tRNA". From Rfam's summary of the family: Transfer RNA (tRNA) molecules are approximately 80 nucleotides in length. The record is from RNAcentral. RNAcentral also lists the same sequence under 3 other names. Lineage: Bacteria; Pseudomonadati; Chlamydiota; Chlamydiia; Parachlamydiales; Simkaniaceae.
GCGGAAGUGGUGGAAUUGGCAGACACGCUACCUUGAGGUGGUAGUGAGGGUAAUACCUCUUGGGGGUUCAAGUCCCCCCUUUCGCA